AAACCGGGAGAUCUCGCGGUUGGCGCGGAGCCGAAGGGGCAGCGGAAACUCUCAGGCAAAAGGACCGGUUUU
RNAcentral lists this non-coding RNA (72 nucleotides) under pig gut metagenome. RNAcentral describes it as "Glycine riboswitch". It matches the Rfam family "Glycine riboswitch aptamer", at positions 7 to 88 of the family's 94-position model. Rfam says of the family: This family represents the bacterial glycine riboswitch. The record is from RNAcentral.